GAUGAACGCUGGCGGCGUGCCUAAUACAUGCAAGUCGAGCGAACAGAUAAGGAGCUUGCUCCUUUGACGUUAGCGGCGGACGGGUGAGUAACACGUGGGUAACCUACCUAUAAGACUGGAAUAACUCCGGGAAACCGGGGCUAAUGCCGGAUAACAUUUAGAACCGCAUGGUUCUAAAGUGAAAGAUGGUUUUGCUAUCACUUAUAGAUGGACCCGCGCCGUAUUAGCUAGUUGGUAAGGUAACGGCUUACCAAGGCAACGAUACGUAGCCGACCUGAGAGGGUGAUCGGCCACACGGGAACUGAGACACGGUCCAGACUCCUACGGGAGGCAGCAGUAGGGAAUCUUCCGCAAUGGGCGAAAGCCUGACGGAGCAACGCCGCGUGAGUGAUGAAGGUCUUCGGAUCGGAAAACUCUGUUAUUAGGGAAGAACAAAUGUGUAAGUAACUGUGCACGUCUUGACGGUACCUAAUCAGAAAGCCACGGCUAACUACGUG
This 497-nucleotide ribosomal RNA is filed under the name uncultured bacterium. RNAcentral's name for it is "partial 16S ribosomal RNA". It matches the Rfam family "Bacterial small subunit ribosomal RNA", at positions 28 to 507 of the family's 1533-position model. The record is from RNAcentral.